RNAcentral lists this ribosomal RNA (253 nucleotides) under uncultured bacterium. RNAcentral describes it as "partial 16S ribosomal RNA". It matches the Rfam family "Bacterial small subunit ribosomal RNA", at positions 524 to 776 of the family's 1533-position model. The record is from RNAcentral.
UACGAGGGGGGCGAGCGUUGUUCGGAAUUAUUGGGCGUAAAGGGUGCGUAGGCGGUUCCGCAAGUCCUGUGUGAAAUCUUCGGGCUCAACUCGAAGUCUGCACGGGAAACUGCGGGGCUUGAGUGUGGGAGAGGUGAGUGGAAUUCCCGGUGUAGUGGUGAAAUGCGUAGAUAUCGGGAGGAACACCUGUGGCGAAAGCGGCUCACUGGACCAUAACUGACGCUGAUGCACGAAAGCUGGGGGAGCAAACAGG